AAUAAGUUAUUUACUAAACUAAAUAUUAUUUAAUAGGUCAUUUACUAAAAGCAUUUUCAAAAGAAAAUCUUUUCAUAUAUCAUAUAUAAAUGUGGUAUAAAUACAUUUUUAAAGAAGAAAGCUUUUUUAUGGAUAUGUGGCAGAUGCAGGCUCUAACAACAUAGAAAUCUCCAAUAUAUAUGUGUGUGUGUGUGUUAGAUAUAUCAGAUUCUAAAAGGGAU
RNAcentral lists this long non-coding RNA (221 nucleotides) under Elaeis guineensis (African oil palm). Its description in RNAcentral is "long non-coding RNA (EGUI_LNC006050)". The record is from RNAcentral. Lineage: Eukaryota; Viridiplantae; Streptophyta; Magnoliopsida; Arecales; Arecaceae.